AACGAACGCUGGCGGCAGGCCUAACACAUGCAAGUCGAGCGCCCUCUUCGGAGGGAGCGGCGGACGGGUUAGUAACGCGUGGGAACGUGCCCUUUGCUACGGAACAACUGCUGGAAACGGCAGCUAAUACCGUAUGUGCCCUACGGGGGAAAGAUUUAUCGGCAAAGGAUCGGCCCGCGUUGGAUUAGAUAGUUGGUGGGGUAAUGGCCUACCAAGUCGACGAUCCAUAGCUGGUUUGAGAGGAUGGAAUCAGCAACACUGGGACUGAGACACGGCCCAGACUCCUACGGGAGGCAGCAGUGGGGAAU
Molecule: ribosomal RNA, 308 nt
Filed under: uncultured Alphaproteobacteria bacterium
Lineage: Bacteria; Pseudomonadati; Pseudomonadota; Alphaproteobacteria
Description: bacterial SSU rRNA
Rfam family: Bacterial small subunit ribosomal RNA
Source: RNAcentral